This is a long non-coding RNA of Serinus canaria (Common canary), 401 nucleotides long. RefSeq lists it as uncharacterized. Lineage: Eukaryota; Metazoa; Chordata; Aves; Passeriformes; Fringillidae. The record is from RefSeq and is a predicted model, not a curated record. The transcript has 3 exons.
CCCAAUCCCUCACACUUCCCUCACACUCACGCCUUCAUCUCUCCCCGUUUAAAAGCUGAAGUGCUUCUUGCCUGGUACUUUUCCCACGAAGCCGUUGGAUAGCAGCCUUGGUGGAGGAGAUAUGAGAGCUGCUUUGUGUCUCUGGAAAGCCGUGUAAGGAUGAGCAGCCACUGGGAAUUGCCCCCCUUUUCCCCGCCGGUGCCAUCGGUUUUGUGCUCAGUGCCCUCUGGAGGUCUUGGACACGCAGUGACCCGAGCGAGUCCCGGCUUCGCGGCUGUGCCUGAGCUCCUCAGGACUCCUUGCUUCAAAGGAACCUACAGGGAAGAGGCUGUGAAGUAUUUGCUGUCAGGACUGAAUUCUGUGUUCACCCAGUCAAGGAGUAGAAGCAUAUUCCAGGUAUG